This is a non-coding RNA of Podarcis lilfordi (Lilford's wall lizard), 124 nucleotides long. The record is from the annotation of a GenBank genome assembly. NCBI's taxonomy places the organism in Eukaryota, Metazoa, Chordata, Lepidosauria, Squamata, Lacertidae.
GCAUCUCCAAACUACCCUAAACACACCCUACGAUCCUGAACAAAUCUCCUCUGAAGCUAAGCAGGGCCAGACCUGGUUAGUACCUGGAUCGGGGCCCACUUAGGAAUACCAGGUGCCAUAGGCU